Molecule: non-coding RNA, 118 nt
Organism: Flavobacteriaceae bacterium (ex Bugula neritina AB1)
Lineage: Bacteria; Pseudomonadati; Bacteroidota; Flavobacteriia; Flavobacteriales; Flavobacteriaceae
Source: Rfam
CAGUGGGUGAGAAUCCCACCUGAGUAAUUGGCUGUUCACUCAGAAGAAAAACGUACAGUUGUUCCUGUGAGGGAUCUGCUGAAGCUAUGUUCUUUCAAAUAAUCAAGCCGUAAUGCGU